This 683-nucleotide ribosomal RNA is filed under the name Mesorhizobium sp. Its description in RNAcentral is "partial 23S ribosomal RNA". It matches the Rfam family "Bacterial large subunit ribosomal RNA", at positions 468 to 1155 of the family's 2925-position model. Lineage: Bacteria; Pseudomonadati; Pseudomonadota; Alphaproteobacteria; Hyphomicrobiales; Phyllobacteriaceae. The record is from RNAcentral.
AAGUACUCGUGCAUGACCGAUAGCGAACUAGUACCGUGAGGGAAAGGUGAAAAGCACCCCGACAAGGGGAGUGAAAGAGUACCUGAAACCGAUUGCCUACAAACAGUGGGAGCCCGCAAGGGUCACCACGUACCUUUUGUAUAAUGGGUCAGCGACUUAGUGUGACGAGCAAGCUUAAACCGAUAGGUGUAGGCGCAGCGAAAGCGAGUCUGAACAGGGCGUUCAGUUCGUCGCAUUAGACCCGAAACCGAGUGAUCUAGCCAUGAGCAGGUUGAAGGUAAGGUAACACUUACUGGAGGACCGAACCCAUAACUGUUGCAAUAGUUCGGGAUGACUUGUGGCUAGGGGUGAAAGGCCAAUCAAACUCGGAAAUAGCUGGUUCUCCGCGAAAUCUAUUUAGGUAGAGCGUCGACCGAAUACCCCAGGGGGUAGAGCACUGGAUGGGCUAGGGGUCCUCACCGGAUUACCAAACCUAACCAAACUCCGAAUACCUGGGAGUAAUAGUCGGCAGACACACGGCGGGUGCUAACGUCCGUCGUGAAAAGGGAAACAACCCUGACCUACAGCUAAGGUCCCCAAGUUAUGGCUAAGUGGGAAAGGAUGUGAGGAUCCCAAAACAACCAGGAUGUUGGCUUAGAAGCAGCCAUCAUUUAAAGAAAGCGUAACAGCUCACUGGUCUAAAU